Molecule: ribosomal RNA, 325 nt
Filed under: uncultured bacterium
Lineage: Bacteria
Description: bacterial SSU rRNA
Rfam family: Bacterial small subunit ribosomal RNA
Source: RNAcentral
UAGAGUGUCAGCUAAGUGGCGCACGGGUGAGUAAUGUAUAGCUAAUGUGCCCCAUAGAAAGGGAUAACAGUUGGAAACGACUGCUAAUACCUUAUACUCCUUCUAAACAUAAGUUUGGUUGGGAAAGAUUUUUCGCUAUGGGAUCGGGCUAUAUCGUAUCAGCUAGUUGGUGAGGUAAUGGCUCACCAAGGCUAUGACGCGUAGCUGGUCUGAGAGGAUGAUCAGCCACACUGGAACUGAGACACGGUCCAGACUCCUACGGGAGGCAGCAGUGAGGAAUAUUGCACAAUGGGGGAAACCCUGAUGCAGCAACGCCGCGUGGAGG